GUGCCAGCAGCUGCGGUAAUACCGGCAGCCCGAGUGAUGACCGAUCUUAUUGGGCCUAAAGCGUCCGUAGCCGGCCGGACGGGUCCGUCGGGAAAUCCACACGCCCAACGUGUGGGCGUCCGGCGGAUACCAUCCGGCUCGGGACCGAACGACCCGAGGGGUACGUCCGGGGUAGGAGUGAAAUCCUGUAAUCCCGGACGGACCGCCGAUGGCGAAAGCACCUCGGGAGGACGGACCCGACGGUCAGGGACGAAAGCUGGGGCCUCGAACCGGAUUAGAAACCUGUGUAGUCC
RNAcentral lists this ribosomal RNA (293 nucleotides) under uncultured bacterium. RNAcentral describes it as "partial 16S ribosomal RNA". It matches the Rfam family "Archaeal small subunit ribosomal RNA", at positions 455 to 747 of the family's 1478-position model. The record is from RNAcentral.